AAUGGGCGCAAGCCUGAUCCAGCCAUGCCGCGUGAGUGAAGAAGGCCUUCGGGUUGUAAAGCUCUUUUGUCAGGGACGAUAAUGACGGUACCUGAAGAAUAAGCCCCGGCAAACUUCGUGCCAGCAGCCGCGGUAAUACGAAGGGGGCUAGCGUUGUUCGGAAUUACUGGGCGUAAAGCGCACGUAGGCUGACAUUUAAGUCAGGGGUGAAAUCCCGAGGCUCAACCUCGGAACUGCCCUUGAUACUGGGUGUCUCGAGUCCGGAAGAGGUUAGUGGAAUUCCCAGUGUAGAGGUGAAAUUCGUAGAUAUUGGGAAGAACACCAGUGGCGAAGGCGGCUAACUGGUCCGGUACUGACGCUGAGGUGCGAAAGCGUGGGGAGCAAA
Molecule: ribosomal RNA, 385 nt
Filed under: uncultured bacterium
Lineage: Bacteria
Description: bacterial SSU rRNA
Rfam family: Bacterial small subunit ribosomal RNA
Source: RNAcentral